CCAAACCCAAAAACUGUUCGGGUGGCAAAACAACACCCACGCCCACACCCAUUCGGUUCGGGUUUUUUCCACCCAAACCCAAACCCACAACACAUUUAAAAAUAAUUUGCAAAUUUAAGAAAUUAAAUUCCAACAUAGAUUUUGAAUUAAAUUACAACUAAAAUUAAGGUCUUCCAAAGAAAUUCAAACAUAGACUUUCAAGAAAUUACAACAUAUACUUUCAAGAAAUUAAAUUACAACCAAAAUUUAAGGUCUUCCAAGGAAAUUGAGGGAGACUAUGGGGGUAAUUAGGUAAUUAUAAAAUAUUUCGGGUGGGUGUAUGGGUUUCGGGUGUGGGUUUGACUGAUACCAAACCCACACCCAUAU
Molecule: long non-coding RNA, 366 nt
Filed under: Trifolium pratense (red clover)
Lineage: Eukaryota; Viridiplantae; Streptophyta; Magnoliopsida; Fabales; Fabaceae
Description: long non-coding RNA (TPRA_LNC012247)
Source: RNAcentral